This 657-nucleotide unclassified non-coding RNA is filed under the name Zea mays. Its description in RNAcentral is "misc RNA Zm00001eb273880". The record is from RNAcentral. Lineage: Eukaryota; Viridiplantae; Streptophyta; Magnoliopsida; Poales; Poaceae.
CUGCAGGCAGCCGCCGCCCGGUUUUCCGCCGCCGUCGCCCGGUUUGCCGCCGCCGUCGCCCGGCCGGGGCUCGCCAGAGCCGCCGCCGCCGCCCGGCCGGGGCUCGCCAGAGGCGCCGUCGCCCGGGGCGCGCGGACGUCCCCGCCCCCCCCGGUUUGCCCGCCGCCGCCGCCCGCCCGGGGCUCGCCAGAGCCGCCGCCCGGCCGGGACUCGCCAGCGCCGGUGCUGCCCCUCGAGCCGCCCGCCGCCGCCCGGACGGGACUCGACGCCUGCCGCUGCCCCUCGAGCCGCCCGCCGCCGCCGCCCGGGCCCGUCGCCCCCGCGUGGACGUCCCCGCGCGACGCCUGCCGCUGCCCCUCGAGCCGCCCGUGCCCCGGUUUGCCCGCCGCCGCCGCCCGGGCCCGUCGUCCCCGCGCGACGCCUGCCGCUGCGCCACCCGUCUCAGCAAAUAGCACUAGGGCAACGUCCAGAUUUUUCAGCGAUGACUAUGCCACCUCCUCCACCUAUCCCGCAGUCCCUCCAGGAAACUUGCUAACUCCGGGAAAUGAGGACUCUGAAGAUGCGGUCGCUUCUUUUGUGGACGGUCUUCUAAACAGUGGAGGAGCUAGCGGAUCAAAUCAACCACAUCCAUUUGAUCAACCUCCUCCAUUUGAGUAG